AGGAGAGUUUGAUCCUGGCUCAGGAUGAACGCUAGCGGCAGGCCUAAUACAUGCAAGUCGAACGGUAAGCGGUCCUUCGGGACCGUGAGAGUGGCGGACGGGUGCGCAACGCGUAUGCAACCAGCCCCCCUCACCGGGAUAGCCGGUGGAAACGCCGGAUAAUACCGGAUGUGCAGCCUGCGGGGCAUCCCGCGGGUUGCAAGGCGGAGACGCGGAGGGGGACGGGCAUGCGUCCCAUUAGGUAGUCGGCGGGGUGACGGCCCACCGAGCCCACGAUGGGUAGGGGAUCUGAGAGGACGGUCCCCCACACUGGUACUGAGACACGGACCAGACUCCUGCGGGAGGCAGCAGUAAGGGAUAUUGGUCAAUGGGGGGAACCCUGAACCAGCCAUGCCGCGUGAGGGAAUGAGGCCCUACGGGUCGUGAACCUCUUUUAUUCGGGGACAAGGGCGGCGUCGAGAACGCCGUUAGAGGGUACCGAAGGAAUAAGCGUCGGCUAACUCCGUGCCAGCAGCCGCGGUAAUACGGAGGACGCGAGCGUUAUCCGGAUUCAUUGGGUUUAAAGGGUGCGCAGGCGGCUCGACAAGUCAGCGGUGAAAGCCCGGGGCCCAACCCCGGAAGUGCCGUUGAUACUGCCGGGCUCGAAUGCGGUCGAGGCGGGCGGAACGUGGCGUGUAGCGGUGAAAUGCGUAGAUAUGCCACAGAACGCCGAUAGCGGAGGCAGCUCGCCAGGCCUGCAUUGACGCUCGGGCACGAAAGCGUGGGGAUCGAACAGGAUUAGAUACCCUGGUAGUCCCCU
RNAcentral lists this ribosomal RNA (799 nucleotides) under uncultured Bacteroidota bacterium. RNAcentral's name for it is "bacterial SSU rRNA". It matches the Rfam family "Bacterial small subunit ribosomal RNA", at positions 1 to 799 of the family's 1533-position model. Lineage: Bacteria; Pseudomonadati; Bacteroidota. The record is from RNAcentral.